This 69-nucleotide transfer RNA is filed under the name Chaenogobius annularis (forktongue goby). Its description in RNAcentral is "tRNA-His". It matches the Rfam family "tRNA". Rfam says of the family: Transfer RNA (tRNA) molecules are approximately 80 nucleotides in length. Lineage: Eukaryota; Metazoa; Chordata; Actinopteri; Gobiiformes; Gobiidae. The record is from RNAcentral.
GUAGAUAUAGUUUAAAGAAAACAUUAGAUUGUGAUUCUAGAAAAAGGGGUUAAAACCCUCUUGUCCACC